RNAcentral lists this ribosomal RNA (115 nucleotides) under uncultured eukaryote. RNAcentral describes it as "partial small subunit ribosomal RNA". The record is from RNAcentral.
UGACUCAACCAGAAGACGGACUCGUUAACCGUARGGAGACGACCGGCGAAGGUGGGGUUGGUGACUGGGGUGAAGUCGUAACAAGGUAGCMGUAGGUGAACCUGCAGAAGGAUCA